GACGAACGCUGGCGGCGUGCUUAACACAUGCAAGUCGAACGGAAAGGCCCUGCUUUUGUGGGGUGCUCGAGUGGCGAACGGGGGAGUAACACGUGAGUAACCUGCCCUUGACUUUGGGAUAACUUCAGGAAACUGGGGCUAAUACCGGAUAGGAGCUCCUGCUGCAUUGUGGGGGUUGGAAAUUUUCGGCGGUUGGGGAUGGACUCGCGGCUUAUCAGCUUGUUGGUGGGGUAGUGGCUUACCAAGGCUUUGACGGGUAGCCGGCCUGAGAGGGUGACCGGCCACAUUGGGACUGAGAUACGGCCCAGACUCCUACGGGAGGCAGCAGUGGGGAAUAUUGCACAAUGGGCGGAAGCCUGAUGCAGCAACGCCGCGUGCGGGAUGACGGCCUUCGGGUUGUAAACCGCUUUCGCCUGUGACGAAGCGUGAGUGACGGUAAUGGGUAAAGAAGCACCGGCUAACUACGCG
RNAcentral lists this ribosomal RNA (468 nucleotides) under uncultured bacterium. Its description in RNAcentral is "partial 16S ribosomal RNA". It matches the Rfam family "Bacterial small subunit ribosomal RNA", at positions 28 to 507 of the family's 1533-position model. The record is from RNAcentral.